CCGCAUUCUUAACCCUCCUGGCAGCUUCGUUGUUAGUUUCCAGGAUAAGAAUGAAUGCCAGAGAAAACUGUUGAUUUAUCCAAAAUGUUGAGCCCCUUCUCCUAUGGCUCCUCAUUAUUUCACGUCUUCAACAUUA
Rhea pennata is the source of this 136-nucleotide small nucleolar RNA. RefSeq annotates it as small nucleolar RNA SNORA14. NCBI's taxonomy places the organism in Eukaryota, Metazoa, Chordata, Aves, Rheiformes, Rheidae. The transcript has a single exon. The record is from RefSeq and is a predicted model, not a curated record.